AUACGGAGGAUCCAAGCGUUAUCCGGAUUUACUGGGUUUAAAGGGUGCGUAGGCGGGCGCUUAAGUCAGCGGUGAAAGGCAGCGGCUCAACCGUUGAAUUGCCGUUGAAACUGGGCGCCUUGGAUUCGGUCGAGGCCGGCGGAAUGCGUGGUGUAGCGGUGAAAUGCUUAGAUAUCACGCGGAACGCCGAUUGCGAAGGCAGCUGGCCAGACCGAGAUCGACGCUGAGGCACGAAAGCGUGGGGAUCAAACAGGAUUAGAUACCCUGGUAGUCCACGCCGUAAACGAUGAUCACUGGAUGCCGGCGAUACACCGUCGGUGUCUGAGCGAAAGCAUUAAGUGAUCCACCUGGGGAGUACGAUCGCAAGGUUGAAACUCAAAGGAAUUGACGGGGGCCCGCACAAGCGGAGGAACAUGUGGUUUAAUUCGAUGAUACGCGAGGAACCUUACCUGGGCUAGAACGCCGAGCGCAUAUGGGGGAAACCCCAUAGCCAGCAAUGGCGGUCGGCGAGGUGCCGCAUGGUUGUCGUCAGCUCGUGCCGUGAGGUGUCGGGUUAAGUCCCAUAACGAGCGCAACCCCUACUGUUAGUUGCCAGCGGAUCAUGCCGGGGACUCUAACGGAACUGCCAGCGUAAGCUGUGAGGAAGGUGGGGAUGACGUCAAAUCAGCACGGCCCUUACGUCCAGGGCUACACACGUGUUACAAUGGCCGGUACAGAGGGCAGCCACCCCGCGAGGGGGCGCGAAUCCUCAAAGCCGGUCCCAGUUCGGAUCGGAGUCUGCAACCCGACUCCGUGAAGCUGGAUUCGCUAGUAAUCGCGCAUCAGCCACGGCGCGGUGAAUACGUUCCCGGGCCUUGCACACACCGCCCGU
Molecule: ribosomal RNA, 871 nt
Filed under: uncultured bacterium
Lineage: Bacteria
Description: bacterial SSU rRNA
Rfam family: Bacterial small subunit ribosomal RNA
Source: RNAcentral